UGACGGAAAAGAGGUAGACAAGGGAA
Molecule: non-coding RNA, 26 nt
Filed under: Homo sapiens (human)
Lineage: Eukaryota; Metazoa; Chordata; Mammalia; Primates; Hominidae
Source: RNAcentral